GGGACAGUGAGAUGCCAGCAGAAUUUCCAGAUAUUUUAGAUGCAUCUUUUGAUUACUAGUUCUCCAAGAACGAUCAACGUGCAGUUAUGCUUGUUUUGGCCUCUCUUCUGUUUUAGAAGACUUGUUAAUGGAAAGAUGAGUUUUUCGGUCGAUCUGUCAAAGCUUUGCAGGUGAUUUCUACUUCUCAGUCUGCUGACGGAGUUGAAUUUGAGAACUCCCUAACCCCCAUCGCAGCUCUGUUUUUCCACUUUUCCUCUUCUACUCUGUCGCCAUGACAAAGCAAGAUGAUCUUGAACAAAAUGCAAACACUUCUUUUUUUCCUCCUUGUGUUUGUAUAAGUUUCCACUUCAAAGGCACGCAAAGUGCCGCUUUGUGGGAAUUGACAUAUUUAAUGGGAAGAAGCUUGAGGAUAUCGUUCCGGGUGUUCCUCAUGUUUCUCGCACUGAUUAUCAGUCGAUUGAUAUCUCUGAAGACGGUUUUGUGAGUCUUUUAAUGGAUAAUGGAGACACCAAGGAUGAUCUGAGGCUACCCACUGAUGACAAUCUGCUCGGCCAGAUGGGUUUGGUGAAGGAAAGGACCUCGUGCUGAGCAUUAUGUCUGCAAUGGGGGAGGAGCAGAUCUGUGCCCUAAAGGACAUUGGCCCAAAAAACUAAAUAUGAUGCUGUAGCAGUAGCUAUGGCUGAUGUCAAAAGAAGCCCUUGCUUUUAGAUCUGAGAGGGAAGUUAUCUACUGGUGUUACAAUAAGUUUCUAUUAGAUGCAAUCUAGUACUGUAAAAAAAAGAAAAUUCAGCACUCAUCUGUGUGCUUAGAAUUCUAUCAGGCUUGUGAAUGGGGCCAGGAAAUAGAAAGGUGGGCUGCAUAUCCCUCAGUGAAGGGAACUUAAGUUUACAGCAGGAUGGAAUUUAUACAAAUAUAGCUAUUCUGCCAUUUUCUUGUUUCUGUUUUAGCUUUGCCCUUCUUGGGGCUGUGGUUCGUUUCUUUUUCCUUUUACAGAAUUUGAGGAUUAUGGGUUUCACUCAUUGGAAAUUCUUAAAAGAAAUUCCGGAUUUUU
Juglans microcarpa x Juglans regia is the source of this 1051-nucleotide long non-coding RNA. RefSeq lists it as uncharacterized. The transcript has 8 exons. Lineage: Eukaryota; Viridiplantae; Streptophyta; Magnoliopsida; Fagales; Juglandaceae. The record is from RefSeq and is a predicted model, not a curated record.